Cotesia glomerata is the source of this 1057-nucleotide long non-coding RNA. RefSeq lists it as uncharacterized. The transcript is spliced from 3 exons. NCBI's taxonomy places the organism in Eukaryota, Metazoa, Arthropoda, Insecta, Hymenoptera, Braconidae. The record is from RefSeq and is a predicted model, not a curated record.
UUAAAAACUGCCCAUUGAAUAGAUUAUUAUUAACUCUUCCGUUGUGUACUACCUUUGCGAUGAUUUACUGAAGAAUUGUCAAAUGGUUAUUUUGUUGGUAAUUUACCGGUCAUUAAACUCAAUCAUACAAAUAUUUACUCCAGUACAACUAAACAGAUCGCUGUUUGCAAUUCUGUCAUGGUUUACGAUUAGUAAAGUACUUACAACUACAACUGGACUUAAUUAUUAUAUACUAAUUUCUAAGAUAAAUAAUAACACUUAAGAUUACGACUCCAUUAUUGUUAUGAAUAUCCUCAAUCAUCACCUAUCAUUUAGUGCAGUGUAUAAUCUGUAAUUGACGACAGAAAAAUUUUUAUCAAUGACAUUCAUUUGUAUUUCGACAUUUCUAAUUGGUUUACAAAUCUGUACAGAUAACGUAAUCGUCAGUUACUUUUAUCGUAUGAUCAAGUUAUAUCAAGUUAUACUUGACACUUCAGUGACAAGUAACUUGCAUGUAAAAUAAAUUAAUUUCUAUGGCUCAUGUGUUUGCACACGUAUACAUUGAUAUAAAUUGAAUUGGGAUCGGAAAAAAUACGUUAUUACCAAGACUACGAGUGCCGAUGCAGUUUUCUUAUUUUAUACAUGUUAAAAUUCAAAACAACGUCGUAGUCGCUCAAAGGCAAUUAACAAUUUUAAGAUAAAUUUGAUUUACCUACGUUCAAAAGUUCAGGAGGACUUGUAUACAUUUUUCUAUACGCUCAUAUUUUUCUAAUUUCUGAGGUUAAGGAUCUGCUAAUCUCAGGGAAGUAGCGUUAUUAUCUUCAGAUAUAAUAGGUUCCGAGGAAAACGGUACAGUAAUAUCUGAUAAUCAAAAUUCAGACCUAGAACAGAACUUGACCGAAAAAAGAAAAAAAAACGAUAAGGCUACAGAAAUUUUUUUUUUACCAUAAAAAAUAAAUAUUAAGAUCGUUACAUAAGAAUAUACUAGAACAUAAACGCCAGUACCAAGAAUAUACCACGCUACCUUGAAUUACACAAUAUAUGAAUUGAAUGAAAAUGAAAUUGAAAUGAUAUCAUA